This 421-nucleotide long non-coding RNA is filed under the name Sinocyclocheilus anshuiensis. RNAcentral describes it as "lncRNA (ENSSANG00000036429.1)". Lineage: Eukaryota; Metazoa; Chordata; Actinopteri; Cypriniformes; Cyprinidae. The record is from RNAcentral.
AUUUUAAAGUUGCAUUAUGGGAAAUAUCCUCUUGGCGCCAUUAAAAUACAGUAUUUUUCAUUUACUGUAAAUCCAAAUACAGUAAAAAAAAUGAGCGGGAAACCUGACCAAUGACAGAAAGGCUUUUUUUCUGCUUGGAGAAAGAAGAAGAAGAAGAAGAAGAAGAAGAAGAAGAAGAAGAAAAAGAAAAGGAAGACGCACACACCUCGCAGCUGCAAAUCACUUCUAAAGAGAAACUCUCAUCUUCUGAGACAAGAAUGAAGAGAGCAUCUAGACGACUGCUACUCUUGCAGAGCUCCCGAGGCCUGGGUCCUGCAGACUUCCUACUGACGAUCUGUGAUGUCCUGCCUCUGCACUGCAGGCUGAGGUUGUUUCAGACUGCGAAGGGAUGAACCAGAGAUGACCCAGGCUGUGGACGGAC